GGCCGGUUAGCUCAGUGGUUUGAGCGCACUGCUGGCAACAAUGACCAACACUGAGGUCGCGGGUUUGAUUCCUGCUCAGUCCC
Molecule: non-coding RNA, 83 nt
Organism: Apaloderma vittatum (bar-tailed trogon)
Lineage: Eukaryota; Metazoa; Chordata; Aves; Trogoniformes; Trogonidae
Source: Rfam